Molecule: long non-coding RNA, 2389 nt
Organism: Bubalus bubalis (water buffalo)
Lineage: Eukaryota; Metazoa; Chordata; Mammalia; Artiodactyla; Bovidae
Exons: 2
Source: RefSeq, a predicted model, not a curated record
UAUGCAUUAAAAUGGUAAAUUUUAGGUUGCAAAAAAAAAAAAAAAAUGAAGUCCUCAUACACAACAUGCUGCUGCUGCUGUUAAGUCACUUCAGUCGUAUCCGACUCUGUGGGACCCUUUAAAACGUUAUGCAAAGCAAAAUAAACCUGACGCAAAAGGCCAAAUAUUGUGAGAUUCCCGACGAGAUAUCUAGAACGGGCAAAUUUGUAAAGACGGAGAAAGUAGAUGAGAGGUUACCAGGAGCUGAGGGAGGUGGGGGCGGGGGAAGGGGGAUAAAAAAGAAAAAGAGAGUGGGGAACAAAGGGCUGCUGGGCGGCCGGAGAGCGGGGCGGCGAGGCUCCGCGCCCGAGGCAGGCGUCUUUGUCCGGGCGGGAGGCGGCGGCGGCCCGGCGGUGGGAGGCGCGGGGCCGAGCAGAGGAGCGGCGACCGCGGGGCAACGCCAGGACGGGCGCAGGGCCCGGCCGACCUGCAGCGCGACAGAGCGAGGCAGGGCCCCAGCCCGCGCACCCUCCCCUGCCCUUCCGCAGGGGCGGGCGGCGCACGCGCCCUGCCCUCUCCCGGUCCUCCUUAACAAAGAGCCAAGAGGAAGCCCUUAGCGAAGCCCAAGAAUUGGAAAUAAAGCUGCCGGGCCCUCCCUCUGCUCUGGUGCAACUCGGCCUGCGCCCCGGGGUCCUUGGCCUCAGGGACUUUACCUUACCGCGGAUCUCGGGUACUUGGUGGUUUCUGCUUUUGUUUAGCACUUGCUCCUUUUUACUGUAGAGCCCUCCGGGGUUCCUGGAGAGUGAACACAGCCUGCCACCCAGCCAGCUCUGAGCUUUCUACAUUGUAGUAGGCCUUCAUUUCUUCCUCCCCUGAGCAACCCUCUGACCCUCUAAACCCCCUAGGGUGGCUUUGGAAGGCAAACCCCAGAGGAGACACCUUGGCACAGGUGAGAUGAAUUUUAACAGUUUUUGAAAAGUCCGCUGAGGUUAAAAUUGCAGAUAAGCUGCCAAAGUUUGUAACUCCAAAUAAUGAUGAAACCAUGAAUGGAACAAUAUGCAAUGCUUAGGCUGAAUUUAUGUAGUUUAGAGCCUAUAUAGUUCAGAGCCUAUUUCCACGGGGGCCUCUUGGGGUGACAGGGCACUCCUGAUGCCUUCUUCCCUCCCCCAGAAAAUUUCCUUCUAGGGACACACCUAGAGGUCUGCCUGGCCCACAGGGACUCCCCGAACUUCUCUGAGAAGAGAGCCAGCACCCAGGAUGAGCUCCAGUGGCCAAGUCUGGGGUCCAGAACUCCAUUUCCCUGGCAGAGCUAAUUGAUAGAUCUGGAGACACCUAACCCAGGCAGGAAACCAGAUUCUCCUUCCCGAGAAUUUGAAACCUGAAUAGAGUCUCUGCGCCUGGCAAGCUCAAGUGUGUGUCACAUGAACCACUGCAUUCUAGAGAGAAGGUCCCCUAGCUGCCUGGUUCCUGCCAGUCUGGCCCUGUCUGUUAGCCGUUCCUUCAGUUCUUUGAGCCCCUAGUCUCCUUCCAGUAAAGUCCUAUUUGGAUCAGGCAGUCAAAGUUGUUUUGGGAAAACAAAACAAAAACCAUACAAACUACUAUGUAUAAAAUAAAUAAGCAACAAGGAUAUAUUGUAUAGGGAAUGUAGCCAGUAUUUUAUAAUAACUUUAAAUGGAGUGUAAUCUAUAAACAUUUUGAAUCACUAAGUUGUACACCUGAAAAGAAUAUAAUGUGGUAAAUCAACUAUACCUCAGUAAAAAUGGCACAAAACGAAAUAAAAACCAAACCAAGUGAUAUAAGGAAGACAUUAUAAAUAUUACAGCAUCCAGGAAGUCAAACCAUGGUGAAAUGGAAAGAGCAUGAACUUGAAUUUUUUUUUCCUUUAAAAAUCUUUCCACACCUGAAGUAGUAUUGAAUCUUAGUUCUUUAACUGGCCAGCUGUAUAAAUUUAGACAAGUUACCCUUUCUAAGCCUCAAUUUCCUUGACCAUGAAGUAGAGAUUGCCGACCUCAUAAAAUCAGCUCUUUAAUUAGUCUAGUGACAUUUAUUGUGGUCACGCAAGAGGCUAUUUUUGCUUAUUUCUUAGAUCUGGGCUGCAUGACAGCUGAAACUUCUGGAAAUUAGUGGUAUUAAGGUACUUUGAGUAUCAUCGCACUUGAACAUUUUGUUAGACCAGGAAUCUUCUCUUUCUCCAUUUUCUUUAGGAGGCAUUGUGGUAGCAACUGAACAUUCAGAAUGGUCCUUUUGAAAAAAUGGUGGUGAAAGACACGUAACAUAAAAUUACUGUCUUAACCAUUUUUAAGCGUACAGUUCAGUGGCAUUAAGUACAUUCACGUUGUUAUGCAACCAGAGGAUUUACUAAACAUUUUUAUGCUUUACUAAAAAUAAACAAAAACCUUUCAAACCCUUU